GGGGAAUAUUGGACAAUGGGCGCAAGCCUGAUCCAGCCAUACCGCGUGGGUGAAGAAGGCCUUCGGGUUGUAAAGCCCUUUUGUUGGGAAAGAAAUCCAGCUGGCUAAUACCCGGUUGGGAUGACGGUACCCAAAGAAUAAGCACCGGCUAACUUCGUGCCAGCAGCCGCGGUAAUACGAAGGGUGCAAGCGUUACUCGGAAUUACUGGGCGUAAAGCGUGCGUAGGUGGUCGUUUAAGUCCGUUGUGAAAGCCCUGGGCUCAACCUGGGAACUGCAGGGGAUACUGGACGACUAGAGUGUGGUAGAGGGUAGCGGAAUUCCUGGUGUAGCAGUGAAAUGCGUAGAGAUCAGGAGGAACAUCCAUGGCGAAGGCAGUCCCCUGGACCUGUACUGACGCUCAUGCACGAAAGCGUGGGGAGCAAACA
RNAcentral lists this ribosomal RNA (426 nucleotides) under uncultured Stenotrophomonas sp. RNAcentral's name for it is "bacterial SSU rRNA". It matches the Rfam family "Bacterial small subunit ribosomal RNA", at positions 356 to 774 of the family's 1533-position model. Lineage: Bacteria; Pseudomonadati; Pseudomonadota; Gammaproteobacteria; Lysobacterales; Lysobacteraceae. The record is from RNAcentral.